GUGCCAGCCGCCGCGGUAAUACAGAGGGUGCGAGCGUUAAUCGGAAUUACUGGGCGUAAAGGGCGCGUAGGUGGUUGUAUAAGAUUGUUGUGAAAUCCCUGGGCUUAACCUAGGAACUGCAACGAUGACUGUAUAGCUAGAGUAUUGUAGAGGGUAGUGGAAUUUCCGGUGUAGCGGUGAAAUGCGUAGAGAUCGGAAGGAACACCAGUGGCGAAGGCGGCUACCUGGACAAAUACUGACACUGAGGCGCGAGAGCGUGGGGAGCAAACAGGAUUAGAUACCCCCGUAGUCC
Molecule: ribosomal RNA, 292 nt
Filed under: uncultured bacterium
Lineage: Bacteria
Description: partial 16S ribosomal RNA
Rfam family: Bacterial small subunit ribosomal RNA
Source: RNAcentral